GCGGGUGUAGUUCAAUGGUAGAAUUCGAGUUUUCCAAACUCGCUACGCGGGUCCGAUUCCCGCCACCCGCUCCA
RNAcentral lists this transfer RNA (74 nucleotides) under Candidatus Omnitrophica bacterium CG07_land_8_20_14_0_80_50_8. RNAcentral describes it as "tRNA-Gly". It matches the Rfam family "tRNA". From Rfam's summary of the family: Transfer RNA (tRNA) molecules are approximately 80 nucleotides in length. Their secondary structure includes four short double-helical elements and three loops (D, anti-codon, and T loops). The record is from RNAcentral. Lineage: Bacteria; Pseudomonadati; Candidatus Omnitrophota.